Microtus ochrogaster (prairie vole) is the source of this 106-nucleotide small nuclear RNA. The record is from Ensembl. Lineage: Eukaryota; Metazoa; Chordata; Mammalia; Rodentia; Cricetidae.
GAGCUCGCUUCAGCAGCACAUAACUAAAACUGGAACGACAGAGAGAAGAUUAGCGUGGACCCCGCGCAAGGACGGCAGGCCAGUUUGUGAAGUGUCCCCCCCUAUU